RNAcentral lists this ribosomal RNA (580 nucleotides) under Vibrio parahaemolyticus. RNAcentral's name for it is "partial 23S ribosomal RNA". It matches the Rfam family "Bacterial large subunit ribosomal RNA", at positions 607 to 1190 of the family's 2925-position model. The record is from RNAcentral. Lineage: Bacteria; Pseudomonadati; Pseudomonadota; Gammaproteobacteria; Vibrionales; Vibrionaceae.
UUUGUAUAAUGGGUCAGCGACUUAUAUUCAGUGGCAAGGUUAACCAUCUAGGGGAGCCGUAGGGAAACCGAGUCUUAACUGGGCGUUCAGUCUCUGGAUAUAGACCCGAAACCAGGUGAUCUAGCCAUGGGCAGGUUGAAGGUUGAGUAACAUCAACUGGAGGACCGAACCGACUAAUGUUGAAAAAUUAGCGGAUGACUUGUGGCUAGGGGUGAAAGGCCAAUCAAACCUGGAGAUAGCUGGUUCUCCCCGAAAGCUAUUUAGGUAGCGCCUCGGACGAAUACUACUGGGGGUAGAGCACUGUUAAGGCUAGGGGGUCAUCCCGACUUACCAACCCUUUGCAAACUCCGAAUACCAGUAAGUACUAUCCGGGAGACACACGGCGGGUGCUAACGUCCGUCGUGGAGAGGGAAACAACCCAGACCGCCAGCUAAGGUCCCAAAUUACUACUAAGUGGGAAACGAUGUGGGAAGGCUCAGACAGCCAGGAUGUUGGCUUAGAAGCAGCCAUCAUUUAAAGAAAGCGUAAUAGCUCACUGGUCGAGUCGGCCUGCGCGGAAGAUGUAACGGGGCUAAGUAGU